Molecule: ribosomal RNA, 253 nt
Filed under: uncultured bacterium
Lineage: Bacteria
Description: partial 16S ribosomal RNA
Rfam family: Bacterial small subunit ribosomal RNA
Source: RNAcentral
GACGGGGGAUGCAAGUGUUAUCCGGAAUCACUGGGCGUAAAGCGUCUGCAGGUGGUUUCCUAAGUCCACUGUUAAACCUUGAGGCUCAACCUCAAAUCUGCAUUGGAAACUAGGAGACUUGAGUAUAGUAGGGGUAGAGGGAAUUUCCAGUGGAGCGGUGAAAUGCGUAGAUAUUGGAAAGAACACCGAUGGCGAAGGCACUUUACUGGGCUAUUACUAACACUCAGAGACGAAAGCUAGGGUAGCAAAUGGG